AUCCAGACUCCUACGGGAGGCAGCAGUGAGGAAUAUUGGUCAAUGGCCGAGAGGCUGAACCAGCCAAGUCGCGUGAGGGAAGAAUGUCCUAUGGAUUGUAAACCUCUUUUGUCAGGGAGCAAAGUCACCCACGUGUGGGUGUUGGAGAGUACCUGAAGAAAAAGCAUCGGCUAACUCCGUGCCAGCAGCCGCGGUAAUACGGAGGAUCCGAGCGUUAUCCGGAUUUAUUGGGUUUAAAGGGAGCGUAGAUGGGUUGUUAAGUCAGUUGUGAAAGUUUGCGGCUCAACCGUAAAAUUGCAAUUGAUACUGGCAGCCUUGAGUACAGUUGAGGUAGGCGGAAUUCGUGGUGUAGCGGUGAAAUGCUUAGAUAUCACGCAGAACUCCGAUUGCGAAGGCAGCAUACCGGCGCGCAACUGACGCUCAUGCACGAAAGCGUGGGUAUCGAACAGGAUUAGAUACCCUAGUA
This 466-nucleotide ribosomal RNA is filed under the name uncultured bacterium. RNAcentral's name for it is "bacterial SSU rRNA". It matches the Rfam family "Bacterial small subunit ribosomal RNA", at positions 329 to 792 of the family's 1533-position model. The record is from RNAcentral.